Molecule: microRNA precursor, 138 nt
Organism: Gossypium arboreum
Lineage: Eukaryota; Viridiplantae; Streptophyta; Magnoliopsida; Malvales; Malvaceae
Rfam family: MIR7502 microRNA precursor family
Source: Rfam
UGUUAAAAAUUUCAUCCAUUUCUAAUGUUAAAAAUUGACAUAACUGACAGAAUAACCAGACAUUGACAUGUGACAUGCCACUCAUGUUGAUGCAUAGGGUUUGGUUUUUAAUAGUAGAAAUGAAUGAAAUUUUUACAA